UUUUUAGCAUAAGUACAUCUCAUGCAGUAUUUGGGAUAUACUUAUGCUAAAA
Pteropus alecto (black flying fox) is the source of this 52-nucleotide non-coding RNA. The record is from Rfam. NCBI's taxonomy places the organism in Eukaryota, Metazoa, Chordata, Mammalia, Chiroptera, Pteropodidae.